Molecule: ribosomal RNA, 484 nt
Filed under: uncultured bacterium
Lineage: Bacteria
Description: partial 16S ribosomal RNA
Rfam family: Bacterial small subunit ribosomal RNA
Source: RNAcentral
AUUGAACGCUGGCGGCAUGCUUUACACAUGCAAGUCGAACGGCAGCGCGGGCUUCGGCCUGGCGGCGAGUGGCGAACGGGUGAGUAAUACAUCGGAACGUGCCCAGUAGUGGGGGAUAGCUCGGCGAAAGCCGGAUUAAUACCGCAUACGACCUGAGGGUGAAAGCGGGGGAUCUUCGGACCUCGCGCUAUUGGAGCGGCCGAUGGCAGAUUAGCUAGUUGGUGGGGUAAAGGCCUACCAAGGCGACGAUCUGUAGCUGGUCUGAGAGGACGACCAGCCACACUGGGACUGAGACACGGCCCAGACUCCUACGGGAGGCAGCAGUGGGGAAUAUUGGACAAUGGGCGAAAGCCUGAUCCAGCAAUGCCGCGUGUGUGAUGAAGGCCUUCGGAUUGUAAAGCACUUCUGGCUGGAACGAAAAGGACUGUGCCAAUACCACGGUUCGAUGACGGUACCAGCAGAAUAAGCACCGGCUAACUACGUG